Molecule: long non-coding RNA, 829 nt
Organism: Manis pentadactyla (Chinese pangolin)
Lineage: Eukaryota; Metazoa; Chordata; Mammalia; Pholidota; Manidae
Exons: 3
Source: RefSeq, a predicted model, not a curated record
AGGGUAGGCAGCUUGGCUGCCCUGCUAUGGCGUACGGCCUGAAAUGGGAAGGGGGCCAGGUCCUCCAUCUGUGUGACUCAUGAGCCAGUGCUCGGGAGCCCCACCUACCUCGGGUAGUCGGGGCCCCUGUCACCUGGCCUCCAGAUGUGGGCCUUCCUCCCUCCUCUGCGAGAGAAGGGGGCCCUAAGGCACUAGCAGGCAUCUGCCUUCUCUCCCAGCCUUCUGGAAGGCUCCGCUGCAGCCACUGGGGCGGGAGCAGGGAGAUGCUGGCCUCUGCCUUAGAGUCCCUGGAGCAUCAUGGCUCCCAGGUCGCCGGCAUCACCUCCACCCCGCAGGGACAACUGCGAGGGGAGCAGACCCGGACAAGCAGCCACUGUGCUGAACUGAGACACAUGCUCCAACCCUGCCACUCCAGCACCAGGAACACAUCCUGUGGCUGCCACCGCACACCAGAGAAAACAGCAGACUGAGAAGCUGCCUGAAAGGUGCCAACAACCCAACUGCACCUGAACAAAUAGUGGGGAGGCUCCACAGCCACUCGUUAGAGCUUGGGCGGCGAAAAACGACAGGAUCCCAGAGCCACAGCCGACGUCAAGAACGAUCUGGAGGAAGAGGGAGCCCGGAGAACAAGGCACUGGUGUGGUGACUGCGAACACACCAGAGUGUGCUGAGCGCCCUGCAGCGGCCUCCCCUCGACACGGGCCUGCGGCCCUCACAGCUGGUUUCUGAGAGCUGCCUGGGGAGCCCCGGGUGGGACUGGAGGCACCAUGAGGGGAUUUCUGUAGGUAGGACGCUAGGACCAUUGCACGCUCUUCAGCCAGAUUCAAGA